RNAcentral lists this ribosomal RNA (484 nucleotides) under uncultured bacterium. Its description in RNAcentral is "partial 16S ribosomal RNA". It matches the Rfam family "Bacterial small subunit ribosomal RNA", at positions 30 to 507 of the family's 1533-position model. The record is from RNAcentral.
AUUGAACGCUGGCGGCAUGCCUAAUACAUGCAAGUCGAGCGAACAAACGGAGCUCUUUCUUCUCUGCCGUUACCGACGGGCGGGUGAUUCCCACGAGUCUACCUUACCUUUGGGGCUAACGUCCCUUCGCGAGCCCUAAUACCGUACCCGAUCAUAUGUUGAACCUCGUGGUUCUUUGGUCCUCACCCUUUUUGCUGUCCCUAAUUCGGAUUAGCUAGUUGGUUGGGUAAAGGCCUACCAAGGCGACGAUCCGUAACUGGUCUGAGAGGAUGACCAGUCACACUGGAACUGAGACACGGUCCAGACUCCUACGGGAGGCAGCAGUGGGGAAUAUUGGACAAUGGGCGAAAGCCUGAUCCAGCCAUGCCGCGUGUGUGAAGAAGGUCUUCGGAUUGUAAAGCACUUUAAGUUGGGAGGAAGGGCAGUAAGUUAAUACCUUGCUGUUUUGACGUUACCAACAGAAUAAGCACCGGCUAACUUCGUG